GCACCCGUAGUCAAAUGGAUAUGACGUCGGUCUCCGGAACCGAAGGUACAAGUUCGAUUCUUGUCGGGUGUA
This 72-nucleotide transfer RNA is filed under the name Verrucomicrobiota bacterium. RNAcentral's name for it is "Verrucomicrobia bacterium (mine drainage metagenome) tRNA-Arg". It matches the Rfam family "tRNA". Rfam says of the family: Transfer RNA (tRNA) molecules are approximately 80 nucleotides in length. Their secondary structure includes four short double-helical elements and three loops (D, anti-codon, and T loops). The record is from RNAcentral. Lineage: Bacteria; Pseudomonadati; Verrucomicrobiota.